Molecule: microRNA, 21 nt
Filed under: Drosophila pseudoobscura pseudoobscura
Lineage: Eukaryota; Metazoa; Arthropoda; Insecta; Diptera; Drosophilidae
Description: mir-276c-RA
Source: RNAcentral
AAGGAACUUGAGAACAAGGUU